UGGGGAAUCUUGCACAAUGGGGGAAACCCUGAUGCAGCGACGCCGCGUGAGCGAUGAAGGUUUUCGAAUCGUAAAGCUCUGUCCUAUGGGAAGAUAAUGACGGUACCAUAGGAGGAAGCCCCGGCUAACUACGUGCCAGCAGCCGCGGUAAUACGUAGGGGGCGAGCGUUGUCCGGAAUUACUGGGCGUAAAGGGUUCGCAGGCGGCAUGACAAGUCCGAUGUAAAAGGCGAAAGCUCAACUUUCGUAAGCAUCGGAAACUGUCAAGCUUGAGUGAAGGAUAGGCAAGUGGAAUUCCUAGUGUAGCGGUGGAAUGCGUAGAUAUUAGGAGGAAUACCGGUGGCGAAGGCGACUUGCUGGACUUCAACUGACGCUGAGGAACGAAAGCGUGGGUAGCAAACAGG
Molecule: ribosomal RNA, 403 nt
Filed under: bacterium
Lineage: Bacteria
Description: partial 16S ribosomal RNA
Rfam family: Bacterial small subunit ribosomal RNA
Source: RNAcentral